UACUAGGGGUGCGAGCGUUGUCCGGAAUCACUGGGCGUAAAGGGUCCGUAGGCGUCUCAAUAAGUCACUUGUUAAAGACACCGGCUUAACCGGUGGCCUGCAUGUGAAACUGUUGAGAUAGAGUAUAGGAGAGGAAAGUGGAAUUCCUGGUGUAGCGGUGACAUGCGUAGAUAUCAGGAGGAACACCAAUGGCGAAGGCAACUUUCUGGCCUAUUACUGACGCUGAGGGACGAAAGCGUGGGGAGCGAAC
This 250-nucleotide ribosomal RNA is filed under the name uncultured bacterium. Its description in RNAcentral is "partial 16S ribosomal RNA". It matches the Rfam family "Bacterial small subunit ribosomal RNA", at positions 524 to 773 of the family's 1533-position model. The record is from RNAcentral.